Long non-coding RNA from Triticum aestivum (bread wheat), 470 nucleotides. RefSeq lists it as uncharacterized. The transcript is spliced from 2 exons. The record is from RefSeq and is a predicted model, not a curated record. Lineage: Eukaryota; Viridiplantae; Streptophyta; Magnoliopsida; Poales; Poaceae.
GUCAGACGAAGGGCAUGACGGAUGGCAUCAGCGGAAAGGUGAGCGCCGGUGGAGAUAAGCGAGAAAAGGAGUAGCGCGAGGCGGUAGGCAGCCUUGAAGAGGAUGAGUGGGCCCGCUGCUGGGGGAUGGUCCUAGGGAUUUUUGAAUCAACGAGAGCAGUGUCGGCCCAGGCUAUCUAGAAUGAUUGCAUGUAUUAAUGAAGUAGUCCACGUUAGGUGGAUUGGCUCAAAAUGGAGAAGCAUGAUUGUAUUAAGCAUUUAAGCUCUAAGCAAUUUAGAAUGUCAAUGUCUUGGGGCUCCCUUGCAAUAUUUCAGAGAACUAUAUUUUUCCAGACAUUUUAUAUUGCCUCACGAUGUUUGGGGGAUCUGAUUAGGUAUUGUUUCUCUAUAUAUCUAUCCAUCUCUCUAUUUUAGUUGCUAAUAGAAUAAUGAACAAUUGAUAGGACUAAUCUUAUAGACUUGUUUUCUCCU